Molecule: transfer RNA, 71 nt
Filed under: Camelus bactrianus (Bactrian camel)
Lineage: Eukaryota; Metazoa; Chordata; Mammalia; Artiodactyla; Camelidae
Also listed under: 2 other names
Rfam family: tRNA
About the family: Transfer RNA (tRNA) molecules are approximately 80 nucleotides in length. Their secondary structure includes four short double-helical elements and three loops (D, anti-codon, and T loops).
Source: Rfam by way of RNAcentral
GUGGGUAUAGCUCAAUGGAAGAGCACGUGCUUAGCAUGUAUGACGUCCCGGGUUCAAUCCCCAGUAUCACU